UAUCUCUGUAGAGUCUGCAUAUCAAUAAGCGGAGGAAAAGAAACUAACAAGGAUUCCCUUAGUAACGGCGAGUGAAGCGGGAAGAGCUCAAAUUUGAAAUCUUCAAGGUUCUACCUUGACGAAUUGUAGUUUAAAGAAGUGUUUUCUGUUAGAUGAGUAGCAAAAGUUCCUUGGAAUGGGACAUCAUAGAGGGUGAGAAUCCCGUAUUUGGUUAUUCAUUCUAGCUUUGUGAUACACUUUCAAAGAGUCGGAUUGUUUGGGAAUGCAGUCCAAAAUGGGUGGUAAAUUUCAUCUAAAGCUAAAUAUUGGCGAGAGACCGAUAGCGAACAAGUACCGUGAGGGAAAGAUGAAAAGAACUUUGAAAAGAGAGUUAAAGCAGUACGUGAAAUUGUCAAAAGGGAAGCGUUUGACACCAGUGUUGUUUUUCCGAAAAUCAAUUACGAAUGGCUUGAUUCUGUGUUGUAUUGACCUUAUCAACUUUCUUCACUUUUUUCGAGUCUUUCUUAAUGCACUUUUCGGUUAACAAGUCAACAUCAAUUUCUUUUGUUGUAAAAGAGUAUUCGGAAGGUGGCUUUCUUUUCGGAGAAAGUGUUUAUAGCCCUAUACUUCUACAAUCGGAGAGAUUGAGGUCUGCAGCGUAGAUCCUUCGGGGUUAGAUACACUUGUGCUAAGUUGCUAGCCUUUUCAUAGACAACUUGUUGACUAUGUUUAGUCAUGCGGCUUACUCGCUUAUGCUAUUUUACCUACGCUUAGGAUGUUGACGAGACUGUCGAUCUC
Molecule: ribosomal RNA, 777 nt
Filed under: uncultured Neocallimastigales
Lineage: Eukaryota; Fungi; Neocallimastigomycota; Neocallimastigomycetes; Neocallimastigales
Description: partial large subunit ribosomal RNA
Rfam family: Eukaryotic large subunit ribosomal RNA
Source: RNAcentral